AGCCUGCCCAGUGACCAAGUUAAACGGCCGCGGUACCCUAACCGUGCAAAGGUAGCGCAAUCACUUGUUCUUUAAAUGAGGACUAGUAUGAACGGCAUCACGAGGGUUACACUGUCUCCCCACUCCACUCAGUGAAACUGAUCUCCCCGUGAAGAAGCGGGGAUAAAAAUAUAAGACGAGAAGACCCCAUGGAGCUUUAAACUCAGUGUCAUCUGCUACCACAAUAGCCAAGUAACAAUGCAGCAAUGACAACUAGUUUUUGGUUGGGGUGACCGCGGAGUAAAACAAAACCUCCGCAACGAAAGGAACUAACAACCUAAUCUAAGAGUAACAGCUCUAAGAAUCACAUAAAUUGACCUAACUGAUCCAAUUACUUGAUCAACGAACCAAGUUACCCUGGGGAUAACAGCGCAAUCCAUUUAAAGAGCUCAUAUCGACAAAUGGGUUUACGACCUCGAUGUUGGAUCAGGGUAUCCCAGUGGCGCAGCAGCUACUAACGGUUCGUUUGUUCAACGAUUAAA
This 521-nucleotide ribosomal RNA is filed under the name Microhyla rubra (red narrow-mouthed frog). RNAcentral describes it as "partial 16S ribosomal RNA". It matches the Rfam family "Bacterial large subunit ribosomal RNA", at positions 1856 to 2592 of the family's 2925-position model. Lineage: Eukaryota; Metazoa; Chordata; Amphibia; Anura; Microhylidae. The record is from RNAcentral.